Long non-coding RNA from Suricata suricatta (meerkat), 529 nucleotides. RefSeq lists it as uncharacterized. The record is from RefSeq and is a predicted model, not a curated record. The transcript is spliced from 5 exons. Lineage: Eukaryota; Metazoa; Chordata; Mammalia; Carnivora; Herpestidae.
AAAAAAUGAGUUAUGUACUGUAGUUGGAUGUCUGAUGGAUAUUUCCUCCACUGAAGGAAGCGUAUCUUGCCAAGGUAUAUAAAGAGUGGCUCUCCCUGUAGACAUCUAAAUAGAGACAAGUAAAUACUGGAGAUGAAAAGGCUCAGCUGGUCCAUGAAAAUUCCACAGAGGGAGGAGAGAAACAAUAUUGCAUUGUUUGCACAGAGCUGUUCACAAAUGUUGUAUCAUGGGGUCAGAAUCACAUGCUGGGUAAACUUUGAGGAAGCCUCCACCCCCUCACCAGAGAUUCCAUAGGAUAUGAAAAGGCUCAACGACUCUCCUGUUACUUCCAUCUAUGUUUCUCAUCAAAACUAGCUCUCAGGUCAUUAGCCAGAGAAGGAGUAAAUGCCCUAUGGAUUUAACAUACAGAAGAUGCCUGCUUUCACGCCUCAUCUCUUCCACCUCAAGAGAAAUCUUCAAGCUAAAAGAAAGAAGAAAAAAAAAGAAAUUCCUUAAACCAAACUUCAGGUUCAAUGUACUUAUUCAGAAA